Austrofundulus limnaeus is the source of this 696-nucleotide long non-coding RNA. RefSeq lists it as uncharacterized. The transcript has 2 exons. NCBI's taxonomy places the organism in Eukaryota, Metazoa, Chordata, Actinopteri, Cyprinodontiformes, Rivulidae. The record is from RefSeq and is a predicted model, not a curated record.
GCAGUGAAGGGGCCUCUCUGACCCGCAAAGGCAGGUCAUUCCAUAAUUUAGGGCUGAUGACAGAGAAAGCCCUGUCCCCUCUGAGCUUCCUUUCUGUUCUCGGUACCUCCAAGAGCAGCUGAUCUGCUGACCUGAGAGACCGAUAAGGUACGUAGGGAUGAAGAAGCUCAGAGAGGCAGCCAGUGAAGUGAGGCCAGGACAGGGGUCACAUGUUCCCUCUUCCGAGUUCCUGUCAAAAGUCGUGCAGCAGCAUUCUGAACCAGAUGCAGACGUGAGAGCAGUGACUGACUGACUCCCAGGUAAAGUGAGUUACAGUAAUCCAAACGAGUUGAAAUAAAAGUGUGGAUCACUGUUUCAAAAUGCUGCCUGGAAAGAACAGAUUUCACUGACGCCAAUCGCCUUAAAUGAUAAAAGCUGGACUUAACCACGGCUUUGAUUUGGGUGUCUAAUUUAAAAUCACUGUCCACCUUAAAACCAAGAUAUGUAAUAACAGGUUUAAAAUAUACCUCCAAGGGUCCCAGGUCCACAGAGGAGGACUCACAGGAGCCACUGGGUCCAAACACCAUCACCUCUGUUUUAUUUUCUUUAAAAUUUAAGAAGUUCAAGGCCAACCAAGCUUUAAUAUCUCCUAGACAUGCCAGGAGAUGUUUGAUGGAAUGGACAUCCUUCUGCUUCAUGGGCAAAUAAAUCUGACAA